GCAGUUGUGUCCGAGUGGAUAAAGAGAUUGACUGGUGAUCAGAAGGUUGCUGGUUGGAUUCCCGGCUUUCCUUG
Molecule: non-coding RNA, 74 nt
Organism: Danionella cerebrum
Lineage: Eukaryota; Metazoa; Chordata; Actinopteri; Cypriniformes; Danionidae
Source: the annotation of a GenBank genome assembly